RNAcentral lists this ribosomal RNA (248 nucleotides) under Shigella flexneri. RNAcentral's name for it is "partial 16S ribosomal RNA". It matches the Rfam family "Bacterial small subunit ribosomal RNA", at positions 1 to 245 of the family's 1533-position model. Lineage: Bacteria; Pseudomonadati; Pseudomonadota; Gammaproteobacteria; Enterobacterales; Enterobacteriaceae. The record is from RNAcentral.
AAAUUGAAGAGUUUGAUCAUGGCUCAGAUUGAACGCUGGCGGCAGGCCUAACACAUGCAAGUCGAACGGUAACAGGAAGCAGCUUGCUGUUUCGCUGACGAGUGGCGGACGGGUGAGUAAUGUCUGGGAAACUGCCUGAUGGAGGGGGAUAACUACUGGAAACGGUAGCUAAUACCGCAUAACGUCGCAAGACCAAAGAGGGGGACCUUCGGGCCUCUUGCCAUCGGAUGUGCCCAGAUGGGAUUAGC